Molecule: ribosomal RNA, 174 nt
Filed under: Alepocephalus bicolor (bicolor slickhead)
Lineage: Eukaryota; Metazoa; Chordata; Actinopteri; Alepocephaliformes; Alepocephalidae
Description: partial 12S rRNA
Source: RNAcentral
CACCGCGGUUAUACGAGAGGCCCCAGUUGAUAGGUGCGGCGUAAAGAGUGGUUAUGGAGUACACCCCAGCUAAAGCCGAAGACCCCCUAGGCUGUCAUACGCACCUGGGGGCACGAAGCCCCGUCACGAAAGUAGCUUUACUCACGCCCACCCGACCCCACGACAGCUGAGAUA